This is a long non-coding RNA of Peromyscus californicus insignis, 5279 nucleotides long. RefSeq lists it as uncharacterized. The record is from RefSeq and is a predicted model, not a curated record. NCBI's taxonomy places the organism in Eukaryota, Metazoa, Chordata, Mammalia, Rodentia, Cricetidae. The transcript is spliced from 3 exons.
CAUGCACACAUGAAUCAUGGCAAACAGAGGUAACAGGACAACUUGCAGACUGGAUUAGGUUCCCUCCUUUUACCAUGUGAGUCAUGGUGACAGAACUCAAGUCGUGAGGUAUGGCAGCAGGUGACCUUACCAUCCCACAAGUACCAACAUAAAGCUUUUAACAUUACAAAGCCCUGCAACUUGUGGCUUGUUCAUGUUCCCAUUUAUUCCCAUAUUCAAUGCAUCAAUUUCUUUUUAGAGGCCAUCUAUUUUCUUAGAGUCUAGAAGACAGUGGAAGUCUGGAAGCCAUUUUUUAAAGCCAUCAGCUCCUCCUCCAUGUCUCCUCCUUCUAAGUACACCUAGUUGGCUAAUGUGUCUCACACAGCUCAAUCAGAACAUUUGCAUAUAAAAUCUUUUACUGUUUUCCUGACAGUGUUGAAUAUGAGGAGAGGUGUUUGCUGGCAGCUGGAGAAAUUUUGAAUCAUAGGAUGCAGACAUCAGGACCCAGCAUUCGGGUGAAUGAUAAGGACAUGAGUCAGAAAGGUGGAGGAACAACUUCACACAGACUGAAGGGAAACUCGGAGGAAGAGAGCACAAACACAUCUAAUGCUGGAGGAGCUGAGCACAGUAAUGACAGGAAUACAUGAGCAUGAAAACACACAGGCAAUCCACGGCAGAAAGAGAACCCACAGAGAAGAAAGAUGUUACGUUAGCCAACACCUAUGGCAAUGGGUCACGACACAAUGCUGAGAUCAAUGCAAAACUUUGAACUGACGUAUUUUGGAAACUGAGUCCAAGAAACAGAAGGAAUGGAAAUGGGAGGGAUAAAAGCCAGUUCAUGGAUCACAUCAAACCUGUUCCUACGGGAGCUGCCAGAGAUCAAUUCUGUUCAGGAGCUUCAAAAACUCAAGAAUGGGAUUCACCACCUCCUAAACUCUGACUCAAGACUCCAUUAUGUUUGCGGGUUUUCACAAGCAUCUGAACCCUAAGUGGAAUUUGCUAAUGCUCAAAUAAUUAUAAAACUCUACAGCAGAACAUGAAGGACAUUCAAUCCAUACAAUUUAACAUGCAAGUAUCACCAUAGCAACUGAGGUCAAAAGAUGGGCAGAAAGGGUCUGAUCCAGAGCAGGUGAGUAUCUAGAAUGACCUGCUCCCUCAGACUACAGAGACCUACAAAUUUUUCACAUUGGACCCACCAAAGACCCGUCUCAAUACUGGUUGUCUGUAGUAUGCAAAACUGACUUAUAUAGUAUUAGUCUCAGCUACUGCAACCUAACACAUUUCAGUAGCUUAUCUUCCUCCUCUAGCACCUAUUCAGAAUUUUCUUUGAGUUUUGGAUUGCUUGGUUAAUGAGAAAAAACUCAUAUUUUUUUCCCAAAAGGAUAUAUCAUUUAGUUGCUUACCCCUGUGGGGACAUGGUUGUUGGCAAUUCUCAUUUACUUUUAUCACUAUGUGUAGAUGCACCAAGACAUGCUCUGCAGGCUUCUUCAAUUUCAGAAGAAUUCCUAGUAGCAAAUGUCUGUUAGCAGUCCCAACUCUCAAUACUAAUCAGAUUCAAUUACUCUAGACAAUGUGGUACAACCUGUUCUAACCCUUAUGCUUUUAGUCAAUUCCUCCUAUAUGUUCAUUCAUGAAGGGUGCUGGCAAGGUGACAGUCCACUGUCCGCUGCAUCGACAUGCAUAUCAAAUUCAUUUCUGAACCACUUGUGCGCUUUUUUAUUUCAUUAUAUGACAGAGACUAUACUUUCCCUUCCAUGAGGCCAUACUGUGAGUUGCAAGCAGGGGAAGAGGGGAUGUUUUACUGGUCCACCUAGUUUAAAAAAAAAAAGUGAUUGGUCCCACUCCUUGCCUGAGCAGUACAGGAGAGUUGGCCCAGGUGGCUUGGAUGCUGACAAACUCAACUACCACCCAUGCCCAGAUUCAGGGAUUUGAGUUGGGCCACCCCAACAUCUAUGAGCUACUGGAGUGUGUGAAGGAGCUGGUCCUGUGGAACCAUAUCUGCAGGAUCUCCAUGUCUCAGGACAACAGCAGAAUAAACAAGAGGAGUCUCUGUGAGGGUCCAGUGUUGAUGGUGUAGAAGAAGCCAGAAGCCUUGAACCAGACCAAUGACUCAUUGCAAUGAACACUUGCAUGUAAAGCUGACUGGGGAAAAGGGUAUACAAUGUGACACUGUAGCUUCCAAUGCCACUAUGACAAAUGAAUAUGUGAUGGAGAUUCAGGAAAGAUAGAGGAGCAGACUGGUACAUGCAUGGCAGAACUGCAGAAGUUGAGUGAAAGUUGUGAGCUACAGUUGAUAGAGGAGCAGGUCAUAUUCAGAAGGGGAAGUUACAAGGGUGGAAGGCAGAUAUGGAAGGACUGGGAAAUGAGCAGGAUUGAGGUUCAUGAUGUGAAAUUCCCAAAGGAUCCAUAAAAAAUUAUGUUUUAAAAAAUUGUGACUGGGCAGGGCAGUGGUGACCCAUGCCUUUAAUCCCAGCACUUGGGAGGCAGAGCCAGGUGGAACUCUGUGAGUUCCAGGCCAGCCUGGUCUACAGAGAGAGAUCCAGGACAGGCACCAAAACUACACAGAGAAACCCUAUCUUGAAAAAAAAAAUUGUGACUGGUGUGGGAAUCUAAACCACACUUUCAUGACAUUCAAUGAUGCCCUCCUAACCUACUAAACCAAACCCAAAUUUUCCAUUUUGGUCACAGUGACAGAUUGUUAUUGCACCUGGCCAUCCUUCUUACUCAGUUGUUAUGACAAAACCAACUUUUUAAUAGGACACAUUUGUUAUAUAGUAGCUUUUUAUGAUUUAAUGCUUUUAAUUAAUCUACAAGUUUCACAUAUAUGUAUUUUUAACAUUACAUGUAUAAAAAGCCAUAUUUAAAUUUGACAUGGUACAGAUAAACAUUUUUCUUUUUAUUAUUAUUACUAUUGAUAUCCCAUGAUCAAACACUCCUACUAGGGACCAGGCAGCCUGCUAGUAACAUUUGUUUUCUAUCAUUUUCUUCCUUUUUCUCUGUCUUCCAGGCUGGCUUCAAACUUUCAGUCCUCACGCCUCAGCUUCCUGAGUGCCUGGAUGACCUUUGCCCCAUUUACCUUGUACAGAUGCAGGGGUCAAGCACUGCUCUAAGAAAUCAGCUCUGACCAGACAUAAGAUGUGUUUUUCACCUUGGUGUUGGAAUUCCCAGUCUCAGAACUAAAGAAAUGAACAUAUACAGUUUCUAAGCUGCUCAGUUUAUGGUAUAUGUGAUGAUACAUUAGUUACUUUUCUAUGACUGUAAAACACCAUGACCAAGACAAUCUAGAAGGAAGUGUUUAUUUGGGUUUUAGUUCUAGAGGGAUAAUUGUCCAUCCCUGUCACAGGAAGAGGCAGGCAUGGCAGCAGGCAUGGUAGUUGGAACAGGAAGCUUACAGCUCACAAUCUAGAACCAUAACCAGGAAGCAGAGAGAGUGAAUUGGAGUAGGGUUAGAUCUUAGGCUCUCAAAGCCUCCCUACCAGUGACCUACUUAGUCCAGCAAGACCAUACCUCCUAAACCUCCCUAAGCAGUUUCAACAACUGGAAAUCAAGUGUUUAAAAGCAUGAGCAUAUGGGGCUCAUGGGGCAUUAUCAUUCAAAUCACUGCUUGUAGCAACAUGAGUAGAACAUGAUAAACUUAAACUCCACAGUUCCUCCUGGAUGAUAAGUUCCAUUUUGGUGGCGCUGGGAACUUGGAGGGUGGUAAGACAAUGACAGAAACCCCACAUUUCCUGUAACAAUGAUUGUCACUCCACAGGUCAGGGAAGCCUGCUGUUUUUGUGUCAUGUUAUAAUUCUGAAUCUUCAUCAAUUUGAUAGUCUGAAGAAUAUCGCAUUAAUUUAAGAUAUUGAUGAAAGCAUAAAUCAAGAAGCGAAAGUGUUGUGUAAUAUCUACUCACCAAAAACAGACCUGAGAGUAGUAGUAUUACCUAUUGGAGAUUCAGGAACACUCAACGGCAAUGAAGAGUGAGGGGUCAAAUAGUCUGAGACAUAUUGUCACUUUCUCUCGGCAGUGACAGACGUAGACAUAUCAAUUAUACAUUCAGGAAACGUGUGAUCAUAGAGUAAGCCCAUGAACUCAGUGAAUCCAUUGUCAGAGAUACUUGGGCCAGGUCUUUGUAUAACCAUUGACAUCUUAUAUUUGAAUCACCAAGUCAGUUUGGACUGUUUGACUUCUGAUUGGAAGGUCAGCUGUAGCAUCUAAUAAUAUUGAAAAAUAUUAAAAGUUUCCUCGUUCUAGGUUAAUGGCUGAUAGUACCUUUGGCAAAAGAUGAGGAAAAUGAUUCUUGUAUUCUUUUUCAAUAGUGCUGCAAGGUUAUUCCUUAAGGGGGCCCUUCUUGAACCUCAGCAAUGAGGUUAGUCAACUGACUAAGCCCUGUAAAAUGGUGGUGUUCUGUCCUAAGAUCUGACUCGAGGCAGCAUUAGUAAGGACGAUUCCCGUAGGUGGUGGGUUGGGCUGAGGGCAAGGGAGGAUGAAGCGGUGGCUUUUGUAACAACAGAAGCACUUUACAGUACAAGGACGGUGGUGACUCUGAAGGCUGUGGGUCUGGUUGGCUUAUAUAAGUGCUUUUAGAGGCUUUGGAAGUAGGAAACAGAAAACCGGUUAAACAACUAAACAAAGAAAGACACAUAAAGGAGACAAUGGGCGACGGCUUACUGCCUGUGGAAGCUUGCUUAUUCAGACCUGAACUUCCUAGCUGACCCUACAAUAGCCCAUGUGGUGUUAAUAUGCUAAAACUGCAUAAAUAAAAAUACCGUAACAGAAAUUAUCGGCCGGUGUCCAUAGUGCUUAUCGCCACGUGGCACCGAUCUGCUUUGGUAGCUAUAGAAGAACGACUGUCAUUACUGGUCUGUGGGCUCAGGUGUCAUGUGUAGAGGUUGGAACUGCAUCUCUGAAGUUAACUUAAGAACAUUGUUCAACAGUUUAUCAAAUCAAUAAAAUGAAAAUGAGUGAUUUUGUGAAAAGCCAUGGUUUAGCAUCUCAGAAUAAGAGUUAAGUGAAGAGAUUAGAUGAGUCUGUUCUUGGGCAACCACCUCUUGGUUUAGGUUUUCUGUGGCAUAUUUUUUAAAAGCACACUAUUGCUGAUUCAGUCUCAGAGUAAAGGGGAUAUCUCCCAAUAUUGGAUGGUGGAAUGCAUGGAAUUUAUUGGUAUUUUCUGUUCAUGUUUGGGACUUGCCUAAAUCUAUCACCUACUUUAAAAAACAGAAUCAACUUUGUUGAUCACUAAAGAGAAGUAUUCAGCUUCUAGAAGACCCCUUAUCACACAGCACUCAGCUAACAUCCAGUAGAGUGACUGUUGGCUA